Molecule: ribosomal RNA, 487 nt
Filed under: Phytoplasma sp.
Lineage: Bacteria; Bacillati; Mycoplasmatota; Mollicutes; Acholeplasmatales; Acholeplasmataceae
Description: bacterial SSU rRNA
Rfam family: Bacterial small subunit ribosomal RNA
Source: RNAcentral
AAAUGGGGAGCACGGAUUAGAUACCCUGGUAGUCCACGCCGUAAACGAUGAGUACUAAGUGUCGGGUUAAACCGGUACUGAAGUUAACACAUUAAGUACUCCGCCUGAGUAGUACGUACGCAAGUAUGAAACUUAAAGGAAUUGACGGGACUCCGCACAAGCGGUGGAUCAUGUUGUUUAAUUCGAAGAUACCCGAAAAACCUUACCAGGUCUUGACAUGUUUUUGCAAAAUGAUAGUAAUAUCGUGGAGGUUACCAGAAACACAGGUGGUGCAUGGUUGUCGUCAGCUCGUGUCGUGAGAUGUUAGGUUAAGUCCUAAAACGAGCGAAACCCUUAUCGUUAGUUGCCAGCACGUUAUGGUGGGGACUUUAACGAGACUGCCAAUGAUAAAUUGGAGGAAGGUGAGGAUCACGUCAAAUCAGCAUGCCCCUUAUGACCUGGGCUACAAACGUGAUACAAUGGCUGUUACAAAGGGAAACCUGAAAGA